GAUGAACGCUGGCGGCGUGCUUAACACAUGCAAGUCGAACGAAGCAUUUAGGACAGAUUACUUCGGUUUGAAGUUCUUUAUGACUGAGUGGCGGACGGGUGAGUAACGCGUGGGUAACCUGCCUUGUACUGGGGGAUAGCAGCUGGAAACGGCUGGUAAUACCGCAUAAGCGCACAAUGUUGCAUGACAUGGUGUGAAAAACUCCGGUGGUAUAAGAUGGACCCGCGUCUGAUUAGCUAGUUGGUGAGAUAACAGCCCACCAAGGCGACGAUCAGUAGCCGACCUGAGAGGGGGACCGGCCACAUUGGGACUGAGACACGGCCCAGACUCCUACGGGAGGCAGCAGUGGGGAAUAUUGCACAAUGGAGGAAACUCUGAUGCAGCGACGCCGCGUGAGUGAAGAAGUAAUUCGUUAUGUAAAGCUCUAUCAGCAGGGAAGAUAGUGACGGUACCUGACUAAGAAGCGCCGGCUAAAUACGUG
Molecule: ribosomal RNA, 481 nt
Filed under: uncultured bacterium
Lineage: Bacteria
Description: partial 16S ribosomal RNA
Rfam family: Bacterial small subunit ribosomal RNA
Source: RNAcentral